UACGUAGGGUGCAAGCGUUAAUCGGAAUUACUGGGCGUAAAGCGUGCGCAGGCGGUUCGCUAAGACAGAUGUGAAAUCCCCGGGCUUAACCUGGGAACUGCAUUUGUGACUGGCGGGCUAGAGUAUGGCAGAGGGGGGUAGAAUGCCACGUGUAGCAGUGAAAUGCGUAGAGAUGUGGAGGAAUACCGAUGGCGAAGGCAGCCCCCUGGGCCAAUACUGACGCUCAUGCACGAAAGCGUGGGGAGCAAACAGG
RNAcentral lists this ribosomal RNA (253 nucleotides) under uncultured bacterium. RNAcentral describes it as "partial 16S ribosomal RNA". It matches the Rfam family "Bacterial small subunit ribosomal RNA", at positions 524 to 776 of the family's 1533-position model. The record is from RNAcentral.